GCUAGGAAUGGUGGUGCAUGCCUGUUAUCCCAACUACCAGGGAGGCUGACUCUGAUCUCUUGAGCUUGGGAAUUGUGGGCUUCCGGGGGCUAUGCUGAUCAGGUAUACACUCUAAGUUUGGUAUUAAUGUGGUGAACCGUCGCCAACUUGCCUAAGGAGAAGCAGACUAGACCAGGUCAGAAAUAGAGCAGAUUAAAGGUCUUGUGAUUAUCAGCAGUUUUAUUGAGUCAUAUGUAGCCCCUGUGCUUCCAGGCUGGGCAAGAUAGGGAGACCCCAAUUUUU
Molecule: signal recognition particle RNA, 282 nt
Filed under: Vombatus ursinus (common wombat)
Lineage: Eukaryota; Metazoa; Chordata; Mammalia; Diprotodontia; Vombatidae
Description: Metazoan signal recognition particle RNA (ENSVURG00010009415.1)
Rfam family: Metazoan signal recognition particle RNA
About the family: The signal recognition particle (SRP) is a universally conserved ribonucleoprotein.
Source: Rfam by way of RNAcentral